UAGGGAAUCUUCGGCAAUGGACGAAAGCCUGAUCUAGCCAUGCCGCGUGAGCGAUGAAGGCCUUAGGGUUGUAAAGCUCUUUCAGUGGGGAAGAUAAUGACUGUACCCACAGAAGAAGCCCCGGCUAACUCCGUGCCAGCAGCCGCGGUAAUACGGAGGGGGCUAGCGUUGUUCGGAAUUACUGGGCGUAAAGGGCACGUAGGCGGACUGGAAAGUCAGGGGUGAAAUCCCGGGGCUCAACCCCGGAACUGCCUUUGAAACCCCCGGUCUUGAGGUCGAGAGAGGUGAGUGGAAUUCCGAGUGUAGAGGUGAAAUUCGUAGAUAUUCGGAGGAACACCAGUGGCGAAGGCGGCUCACUGGCUCGAUACUGACGCUGAGGUGCGAAAGCGUGGGGAGCAAACA
Molecule: ribosomal RNA, 402 nt
Filed under: uncultured bacterium
Lineage: Bacteria
Description: bacterial SSU rRNA
Rfam family: Bacterial small subunit ribosomal RNA
Source: RNAcentral